This 5102-nucleotide long non-coding RNA is filed under the name Salvia miltiorrhiza (redroot sage). Its description in RNAcentral is "long non-coding RNA (SMIL_LNC005427)". Lineage: Eukaryota; Viridiplantae; Streptophyta; Magnoliopsida; Lamiales; Lamiaceae. The record is from RNAcentral.
UUCCCAAGACAGGUUUAUAUGUGUAUGAUCUUCAGGCUUUGCCUAUCCAGGUGGGCUUACUUUCCAAAUGUACAAAGUAUGAUUGAGUUAUUAAGCUCUAAAUGUUUCAAUGAAAUGCAAAUUGUUUAUUUAAUGAAAUGAAAACUGUUUAUCCAAUAAAAUGUUUAUGUGCACUCUGCUCUGUUUAAGGCUCGCAACAAUGAAUCGAUCGAGGUUCUCUUAUGGCCUAACACGUUAUUUGAGAAUUGUGUACACUUGUUAGCUGACUCGGUGGGUUGAUCUCCAUCGGGCACUAAUUCAUGUAAGAGGCGUUAUAAGGGUGCUUGGCUGGAUGUGUUCCGGAGCAUAUAAUGUAAGGGCCUGCCUGGGUAGCGUCCCGAGGUCAAUUCAACUUGUCUGAGUUACGUCCUCAGGGCAAGUGCAAUGGGAGAAAUGGAUCCGUCGGUGGCUAAAAGGUCCGGGAUCACAGCGAGUAACAGAAAGGGAGUGUGACAUGUGCGCACAAAUGAAAGAAAUGUUUUAACAUGCUUAGAAGUUAUUUCAAUUUAAAACCUUCUAAGUCAUGUCAAGUAUGAUUGGAUAAACUGUGUUUACGAAAAUAUGAAAUAUUUAUGAAAAUGCAUGCCCACUAAGUACAUUAGUACUUAGCCCAAAAAUACUUUCAAAUGUUUUCAGGUUGGCUGGCCGGUGCUGACGGGACGGAGCUGAGGCUAGGGUUAAAUUCCUAUGUUAGACUUCCGCUGUAGCAAUUACUCAUAUCAGUCUUUUGUUUUCCCAACUUAAGAUCUUCAUGUUAAAUUUCAAAUGAUAUACCUGACCGAGCUUAGACUCUUCACUACUAAAUUUAUGCCAAUGAAUGUCGGUUGUCAGAAGCAUGAAACAAAACUUGUGAUCCAAAGGGGCAUAGCUCGACUUUCUAUCCUAUUUCGGGUUUUUACAAGGUAUUUCCCUUGUUUAUUUCUAUGAAUUAUUUAUACCUCGAUUAUAUUUAUUCUUUCAAGAAUUGGGGUGUGACAGAAUGGUAUCAGAGCAUAAGUUUUCUUUCAUGACUCUGAUAACCAUAAGCUUUUGAUGUCGAGUCUAGAAUAGUAUCUCUAGACUUCUAAGAAUGUCAGUAGCCCUCAGCUCGCCGUCACACUGCCGCAACUAAGGUACGAUAAUAGUUUCAAAAAUAUACAUAUAUGUAUUUCAGAUGUUAUGAAAGUUUUCAAGAAAAUGUGCGCCUUAUGUUUACAAUGCUAUGUGAAUGUUUUUUGUCGUGUUUGGGACUACCCGAACCCAUAACGACUCAAUGAAUGUAUUUCGUGUUUGGGACAACCCGAGCCCUUAACGAAUCAAUGUAUGUAUGUAUGUAUGGUCGAGUUAGAUUCCUUGAAUCUUUCCGGCAUAAGCAAAGUUUUUCAUGAAAGGGACAUUUAAUGUCCAUAUGACUCAAAAUUUCAAAGAAAGCAAAUAUAUGUAUGUAUGUAUGUAUGAAUGAAUGAUGAGAAAGCUUUAUGUUAUCAUUUUAGGUUCACUGCCUAUAUGAUUAGAAUGAUGAGUUCUUUUACAAACCGUUUGAGAACCACCCAAUAAUGCCUUAUGAAUGUUAGUCGUGACAGCACCACUAGAACGGCAUAGAAUGGACUUAUAUGGUACCAAUGAUUAUGAUUGAAGUACUUAGAAGUAAGUGCUUUAAGUUAAAAGUUGACUUAGAGCUUUAUAAAGAGAUAAGAAGUUGACAUGAAUGGGGGCGAAGCUCCCAUUUGACUGAGUGACUCGCCGUGCUGGGUCUGGCCAGCCCACAUGACUAUGAUCUCGGUGAUUGUCAAUUUAGUCAUCCCAAUGUAUAGACUCUCACUAUGUAGUUGUCACAAUAAGAUUUUGCUUCCAUCACGAUAAGCAUAAUAUGAUUAGAAUGAGUUCGUUUGUCACCAGUUCUCGAGACUAUAGACAUGGUGUUCUCACAAUUAGAAAGAUGCGAUAACAAUCAAGCUAUGUAGCCGCACUGAUAGUGAAGUCUAGUAUCCCAAACUAGAUUACCCAGAUAUGCAAUUUCGAGGACGAAAUUUUUAUAACGAGGGAGGAAUGUAACACCCCGCUUUUUCCUAGUUAAAUUUAGAGUAAUUUUGAACUUAGAAGUCAGGAUGAUUCACGCCGGAUAUAAAGAAAAUGAAUUUAUUUUAAUUCCAACAAAAGUGUUUAAAAAAAAAAAACAUUUGUAAAUUUAGUUAUUAAAUUUAUGUGCGUCGCAUAUUUAUUUAAUUUAGCAUUCAAAGCAUUAUCACGAGCUUUUAGUCAUCAAACCCUGAAGAAUUAUUACAGUUUUCAUAGUACAACCCGAAAGAUUUUUUUUAUUAUUAUUUUAUUUUAUUCCUCCCACCUACUCCCCCACUUACUCCCACACCCACCUACUCCCCCACUUACUCCCACACCCACUACUCCACGCUAUGCCCCUUUAAUUUUUAUAUCAAAACACUCUCUGCGAAAUCAAUCUGCGAAAUCAAUCCCAUCCUCCACCUUCCCUCCCAUCAUGAACAGCAUACCUGCGAGACUGUCAUCACAACUUUCCUCCUCUAAGUUAUACUUCAAUAUCAGAUUUCACAAUUUCCAUGAUUCAUUUUUACUCUCUCUCUCUUUAUCGUUCCACGCAAAUCAACCUUGCAAGAUUAAGAACAGCUGCACAUAUUCAAGCCACCAACCCAGCAGAUCCUUAAAAAAAAAAGGUUUUAUUUUUAACUCAUUUAUGUUAUGUAAAUUCUCAUUUUGUAUCAAUAUCUCGAAAACAAACCCAUUCUUGAGUAUCACAUUCUGAAAAUUUCAAACUUCACAAAACAAAGAAUCACAUGCAUAUAUAUGUUCACUGACCUUUAUUAUAACAAGCAUUUAUAUGAAUAUACAUAUGUACACUAAGAGUUUUUUUUAAAUAAAUGAACUUUGGGGUCUUGUUGUCGUCUGUUGUAUGAGUGUGUAGCGGCGUCGGGAGACGGACGAGGGGUGGUGUUUGGGCGUGAGCUCAUGGUUGGUGUGUGCGUGAGAUGAGAGGGAGAGAGAUGAAAUGGGGGUUGACGGCGGCUGGACAGCGGGGCUGUUUAGCGGAGGGAGGCAGGGCACGGCGGCGGUGCCGCUGCUGCCCGGCCACGGCUGGAGAGAGAGAGGUGGUGUGGUCUUGUCUGGGCUGGGGCCGCGGAGGGUUGAGCGGAGGACGGCGGCAGCCGUGGGUUGCUGUCGCCGGGAAAUUGAGGGAGGGAGACCGAGGGAAGCAGCGGCUGCUGCUGCUGCUUCUGUCGGCCGGUUGAGUGAAGGGAAUGGAGCUCCGGCGGCGGUGAAACUUCGAGAGGAAAGAGGGACGAGCAGAUCUUGGAGCAGUCGAGAGAGUGAUUCGACUGAAGGUGGGCGGUGGUGACCGAGGUUUGAGAGAGUUCGGAGGGAGAUGGGAGAUUGCCGGCAGCUGUUGUCGCUGGAGAAGGGGGCGCGGCCGCGGCUUGGCGGCGGCAGGGGGAGACCGAGGGGUUGGGCGUGAGUCCGAGAGAGAGAGGGAGACGAGCAGUGAAGGGGGAGGGGAUGAGUGACUGAAAUGUGAGUGUUUGUGCGUGUGUUGCGGCUGAUGGGGGGAAGAAGGCUAGGUGUUGGGCUAGGGUGAGGGUUGGGCUUUGGGGUUGGGUUUGAAAUUUCGAAUUGGGCUGAGUAUUUGGGCCGAGAUUUUAUUUAUUUUUGUCUCAGCUGGGCUUUUAAUUAUUAAAUCUAAUGGACCUUUAUUAAUUUAUUUAAUUGGACUGUGCAGUUUCUUUAUUUAAAAUGGACUACACUAUUUUAAUUAAUUAGACUAAUUAAGUUUGAUUAAUUAUUUUUAAUUUGCAUAAUAAUAUUAUAUUAUUAUUAUGUGCAUAUUUUAAGUAAAUUACUUAUUAUAUGAUAAACAUGACAUGAAAUUGCAUUAUAUUUUUGCAAUAAGAGUAUUUAAGAUUUAAUUGGUUUUAUUUAUAAUUCCAAUUAUUAAAGAAAGUUGAGUAAGAAUAUUGUUGGUGUUCUUAACUCAAGAGAAAUGUUUUCAAUUAUUUAUUCAUUAAAUUUUAGAAAACCCGGCUAAGUGAAUCAUAGAAUAUUAAGCACUCUCACCAUGACUUAAGAUUAGCUUCACGAGACCUAUUAAGAAUAGAAUUUCUUGUAGGCUUCGUGACCAGGGGGAUUAGCGCUGCUUUCCCAAGACAGGUUUAUAUGUGAUUAUGAUCUUCAGGCUUUGCCUAACCAGGUGGGCUUACUUUCCAAAUGUACAAAGUAUGAUUGAGUUAUUAAGCUCUAAAUGUUUCAAUGAAAUGCAAAUUGUUUAUUUAAUGUAAUGAAAACUGUUUAUCCAAUAAAAUGUUUUUGUGCACUCUGCUCUGUUUAAGGCUCGCAAUUCAUGGAUCGAUCGAGGUUCUCUUAUGGCCUAACACGUUAUUUGAGAAUUGUGUACACUUGUUAGUUGUUUCGGUGGGUUGAUCUCCAUCGGGCACUAAUUCAUGUAAGAGGCGUUAUAAGGGUGCUUGGCUGGAUGUGUUCCGGAGCAUGUAUCAUGUAAGGCCUGCCUGGGUAGCGUCCCGAGGUCAAUUCAACUUGUCUGAGUUACGUCCUCAGGGCAAGUGCAAUGGGAGAAAUGGAUCCGUCGGUGGCUAAAAGGUCCGGGAUCACAGCGAGUAACGGAAAGGGAGUGUGACAUGUGCGCACAAAUGAAAGAAAAUGUUUUAACAUGCUUAGAAGUACUUCUUUCAAUUUAAAACCUUCUAAGUCAUGUCAAGUAUGAUUGGAUAAACUGUCUUUAUUAAAAUAUGAGAUGUUUCAGAAAAUGCAUGCCCACUAAGUACAUUAGUACUUAGCCCAAAAUACUUUCAAAUGUUUCAGGUUGGCUGGCCGGUGCUGACGGGACGGAGCUGAGGCUAGAGUUAAAUUCCUAUGUUAGACUUCCGCUGUAGCAAUUUCUCAUAUCAGUCUUUUGUUUUCCCAACUUAAGAUCUUCAUGUUAAAUUUCAAAUGAUAUACCUGACCGAGCUUAGACUCUUCACUACUAAAUUUAUGCCAAUGAAUGUCGGUUGUCAGAAGCAUGAAACAAAACUUGUGAUCCAAAGGGGCAUAGCCCGACUUUC